Molecule: non-coding RNA, 29 nt
Filed under: Rattus norvegicus (Norway rat)
Lineage: Eukaryota; Metazoa; Chordata; Mammalia; Rodentia; Muridae
Source: RNAcentral
UUCAUAUUCCCUAAACAUGAACCGUCUGC